This 253-nucleotide ribosomal RNA is filed under the name uncultured bacterium. RNAcentral describes it as "partial 16S ribosomal RNA". It matches the Rfam family "Bacterial small subunit ribosomal RNA", at positions 524 to 776 of the family's 1533-position model. The record is from RNAcentral.
GACAGAGGGUGCAAACGUUGUUCGGAAUUACUGGGCGUAAAGCGCGUGUAGGCGGCAGCGUGUGUCGGGCGUGAAAUCCCACGGCUCAACCGUGGAAGUGCACUCGAAACUGCGCAGCUAGAGUCCUGGAGAGGAAGGUGGAAUGCUUGGUGUAGAGGUGAAAUUCGUAGAUAUCAAGCGGAACACCGGUGGCGAAGGCGGCCUUCUGGACAGUGACUGACGCUGAGACGCGAAAGCGUGGGGAGCAAACAGG